GUUCUUGUAGUUGAGACACAACAGUGGUUUUUCACGCCACAGGUCCUGGUUAAAGUCCGGGUAAGAACU
Molecule: transfer RNA, 69 nt
Filed under: Lagocephalus cheesemanii (Cheeseman's puffer)
Lineage: Eukaryota; Metazoa; Chordata; Actinopteri; Tetraodontiformes; Tetraodontidae
Description: tRNA-Glu
Rfam family: tRNA
About the family: Transfer RNA (tRNA) molecules are approximately 80 nucleotides in length. Their secondary structure includes four short double-helical elements and three loops (D, anti-codon, and T loops).
Source: RNAcentral